GGGGCUGAACGGUUUCGACUUUGGUCGUUGAAGCCAAGAGAAGCGAGCCGAGGACCCAGGGUUAUCUCGUUAACGAUCCUUGGAAACCAUAAGUGCUAAAGCUAAUCGCACUGACUUCGCCCUCGCCGCCUGAGGCGACUGGUGAAGGGUCGGUCUGGAUAAGCC
RNAcentral lists this transfer-messenger RNA (165 nucleotides) under Nocardioidaceae bacterium. Its description in RNAcentral is "partial transfer-messenger RNA". It matches the Rfam family "transfer-messenger RNA", at positions 1 to 190 of the family's 374-position model. From Rfam's summary of the family: Bacterial tmRNA, also known as 10Sa RNA or SsrA, is named for its dual tRNA and mRNA-like properties. The record is from RNAcentral. Lineage: Bacteria; Bacillati; Actinomycetota; Actinomycetes; Propionibacteriales; Nocardioidaceae.